Long non-coding RNA from Ochotona princeps (American pika), 242 nucleotides. RefSeq lists it as uncharacterized. The record is from RefSeq and is a predicted model, not a curated record. The transcript has 3 exons. Lineage: Eukaryota; Metazoa; Chordata; Mammalia; Lagomorpha; Ochotonidae.
CCCACAGGAGAGAGGAUUGUUACAGCUGGGUAGAGUCGCUUCCGGAGGGUGCUUUGGAUCUCAGGGUUCACUUUUCUGGCCUUUCCUUCCUGGAUCAGCUCUGCUUCAGCCAUCCUCCGGGUCACCUGCAGCAACAGGUCACAAUACAAACACACAAAUCUCAGAGAAGCAAAAGCUGCCCCACUGUUGGUGACAGCAGCCAAGGCGUCUGUUUCUAGAAGUUUCCAUUAAAAAAAAAAAAA